AGUCUGCAACCCGACUCCACGAAGUCGGAUUCGCUAGUAAUCGCGCAUCAGCCAUGGCGCGGUGAAUACGUUCCCGGGCCUUGUACACACCGCCCGUCAAGCCAUGGGAGCCGGGGGCGCCUGAAGUCCGGGACCGCGAGGACCGGCCUAGGGCGAAACUGGUAACUGGGGCUAAGUCGUAACAAGGUAAC
Molecule: ribosomal RNA, 191 nt
Filed under: uncultured bacterium
Lineage: Bacteria
Description: partial 16S ribosomal RNA
Rfam family: Bacterial small subunit ribosomal RNA
Source: RNAcentral